UGAAUACGAGAUGCUACGGCGUCGAAGCAGUGUAUGUCAGACUUCCAAGAAAAGCUCGCAAUGUCAUAAAUAAAGAAUGCCUGUACCAUAACCGACACAGGUGGGUAGGUAGAGUAUACUAAGGGGCGCGAGAUAACUCUCUCUAAGGAACUCGGCAAAAUAACUCCGUAACUUCGGGAGAAGGAGUGCCUUCUUGAAGAAGGUUGCAAUAACAAGAUCCAAGCAACUGUUUAUCAAAAACACAGGUCUCCGCUAAGUCGAAAGACGAUGUAUGGGGGCUGACGCCUGCCCAGUGCCAGAAGGUUAAAGAAGCUGGUUAGCAAUAGCGAAGCUGGUGACUGAAGCCCUGGUGAACGGCGGCCGUAACAAUAACGGUCCUAAGGUAGCGAAAUUCCUUGUCGGGUAAGUUCCGACCCGCACGAAAGGCGUAAUGAUUUGGAUACUGUCUCGGAGAGGGACUCGGUGAAAUAGACUUGUCUGUGAAGAUGCGGACUACCUGCACCAGGACAGAAAGACCCUAUGAAGCUUUACUGUAACUUGAAAUUGAAAUUGGACUUUAUUUGCGCAGUAUAGGUGGAAGGCGUUGAGAUUACUCUUGCGGGAUUAGUGGAGCCAUCAGUGAGAUACCACUCCUAUAAUGUUAGAUUUCUAACUUUGGAUCAUAAUCUGGUCAGAGAACAGUUUCAGGCGGGCAGUUUGACUGGGGCGGUCGCCUCCCAAAUGGUAACGGAGGCGUACAAAGGUUUCCUCUGAACGGGUAGAAAUCGUAUCUAGAGUGUAAAGGCAUAAGGAAGCUUGACUGUGAGACCUACAAGUCGAGCAGGGACGAAAGUCGGUCUUAGUGAUCUGACGGUGCUGAGUGGAAAGGCCGUCACUCAACGGAUAAAAGUUACUCUAGGAUAACAGGCUGAUCUCCCCCAAGAGUUCACAUCGACGGGGAGGUUUGGCACCUCGAUGUCGGCUCAUCGCAUCCUGGGGCGGUAGUACGUCCCAAGGGUUGGGCUGUUCGCCCAUGAAAGCGGUACGCGAGCUGGGUUCAGAACGUCGUGAGACAGUUCGGUCCAUAUCCGGUGUAGGCGUUAGAAUAUUGAGAGGAGCCUUCUUUAGUACGAGAGGACCGAGAAGGACAUACCUCUGGUGUACCAGUUAUCGUGCCAACGGUAAACGCUGGGUAGCUAUGUAUGGAGAGGAUAACCGCUGAAAGCAUCUAAGUGGGAAGCCCACCUCAAGAUGAGUAUUCUCAUC
This 1245-nucleotide ribosomal RNA is filed under the name metagenome. RNAcentral's name for it is "bacterial LSU rRNA". It matches the Rfam family "Bacterial large subunit ribosomal RNA", at positions 1564 to 2818 of the family's 2925-position model. The record is from RNAcentral.